AGAGUUUGAUCCUGGCUCAGAUUGAACGCUGGCGGCAGGCCUAACACAUGCAAGUCGAGCGGUAGAGAGAAGCUUGCUUCUCUUGAGAGCGGCGGACGGGUGAGUAAUGCCUAGGAAUCUGCCUGGUAGUGGGGGAUAACGUUCGGAAACGGACGCUAAUACCGCAUACGUCCUACGGGAGAAAGCAGGGGACCUUCGGGCCUUGCGCUAUCAGAUGAGCCUAGGUCGGAUUAGCUAGUUGGCGAGGUAAUGGCUCACCAAGGCGACGAUCCGUAACUGGUCUGAGAGGAUGAUCAGUCACACUGGAACUGAGACACGGUCCAGACUCCUACGGGAGGCAGCAGUGGGGAAUAUUGGACAAUGGGCGAAAGCCUGAUCCAGCCAUGCCGCGUGUGUGAAGAAGGUCUUCGGAUUGUAAAGCACUUUAAGUUGGGAGGAAGGGUUGUAGAUUAAUACUCUGCAAUUUUGACGUUACCGACAGAAUAAGCACCGGCUAACUCUGUGCCAGCAGCCGCGGUAAUACAGAGGGUGCAAGCGUUAAUCGGAAUUACUGGGCGUAAAGCGCGCGUAGGUGGUUUGUUAAGUUGGAUGUGAAAUCCCCGGGCUCAACCUGGGAACUGCAUUCAAAACUGACUGACUAGA
RNAcentral lists this ribosomal RNA (642 nucleotides) under uncultured Pseudomonas sp. RNAcentral's name for it is "bacterial SSU rRNA". It matches the Rfam family "Bacterial small subunit ribosomal RNA", at positions 8 to 645 of the family's 1533-position model. The record is from RNAcentral. Lineage: Bacteria; Pseudomonadati; Pseudomonadota; Gammaproteobacteria; Pseudomonadales; Pseudomonadaceae.